RNAcentral lists this ribosomal RNA (449 nucleotides) under Gonospira chloris. RNAcentral's name for it is "partial 16S ribosomal RNA". It matches the Rfam family "Archaeal large subunit ribosomal RNA", at positions 1921 to 2666 of the family's 2987-position model. Lineage: Eukaryota; Metazoa; Mollusca; Gastropoda; Stylommatophora; Streptaxidae. The record is from RNAcentral.
AACCUAAAGAUAAUUUAUUUUAGGCGGUGCCUGCCCAAUGAAUUUUUUAAUGGCCGCAGUACUUUGACUGUGCUAAGGUAGCAUAAUCAAUUGUCUUUUAAUUGAAGUCUAGAAUGAAUGGAUUUAUGUAGCUCUACUGUCUCUUUAAUUUUUACUCGAAGUUACUUAAAAGGUGAAAAUUCCUUUAAGUUUUAGAAAAAAGACGAGAAGACCCUUAGAAUUUUUGUAGAAAGGGUUACUAUUAACCUACUUUUUUGUUGGGGCAACAAAAUAGCAAGAGUAAAUCUAUUCAAUUUAUACUUUUCCACAUAUCAAAUUUUGUUUUUAUUGAGUAAAUUACCUUAGGGAUAACAGCGUUAUUUCUUUUGAAGAUUGCGACCUCGAUGUUGGACUAGGAACCUAAAAAUUAAAAAUUUAUAAGGAUUGUUCUGUUCGAACAGUUUACUCCU